AGCUUUGCGCCGUGGCAGUAUCGUAGCCAAUGACGUUUAUCUGAGGCGCGAUUAUUGCUAAUUGAAAACUUUUCCCGGCUUUU
RNAcentral lists this small nuclear RNA (83 nucleotides) under Suricata suricatta (meerkat). RNAcentral describes it as "U4 spliceosomal RNA (ENSSSUG00005011383.1)". It matches the Rfam family "U4 spliceosomal RNA". Rfam says of the family: U4 small nuclear RNA (U4 snRNA) is a component of the major U2-dependent spliceosome. The structure of U4 snRNA from yeast and human has been reported. The record is from RNAcentral. Lineage: Eukaryota; Metazoa; Chordata; Mammalia; Carnivora; Herpestidae.